GGGGUGUGCUCUGCGACCGGCGCGAGGACAGCCCAGGAGUCGCUGCCUGUGCCAAACCCGGUGCGGGGACAGCCCGGGGGUCGCUGCCUGUGCCAAACCCGGUGCGGGGACAGCCCGGGGGUCGCUGCCUGUGCCAAACCCGGUGUGGGGACAGCCCGGGGGUCGCUGCCCGGCUGCCCCAGUGCCGCGGGCUCGCUGCCCCCCCGUCCCCCUCACGCCCGCCCAACAUGGCGUCCGGCGGGCGCCGCCGCGCCCCCUCCUGGCAGCCCGCGGCAAUGGCGGCCGCCGGGCGGGACGAUGUAACGCCCUCCUGUGCGCCCGGGCUUCGGCGAAGCCAUCCAAAAAACAUAAAAAAGUGAGUUCCCUGGGUGUUUCCCGCAGCCCUGGACAAGGUAUGGCAGGUGUGGCAUCCGCUUUGCUGAAGCUCAUCCCACAUGGAUCAUGCCCGUCGAUGGCGACCGACACCACCCGGGUGAUGAACGUGCUCAGAGCUCUGAGGUGACACAGAUGACACAGAAAUGCCCCAACUGUUGUGGGUGGAAGAAUAGGCUCACCUGCUCAGCCUCCCUGAGAAGCAGGUAAACACUGAAUCACCUAAACUGCAAACUGACUUUCCUAUAUGGUGUCUGCUGAUUUUUUUGCCUUGAUGGACCAGGAGGUUCUUCAAUGGUCAGUUCUAAAGUAGAAGGGAAGUGUAGAUACAUUCAAGAGAGAUUCUGCUUUUGUAAAGAAGCUUAAAUUCUGGAAUUCUAGAAACACUGGUGAUGGUUUUGAUUUGAACCUGAAUGCAAAUAUGAGUUGGCUCUUUUGCCCAUUGACUAGAUGAGUGGGCUAAAGACUAUUAACACUAUACCAUAAUAUCUUCCCUUAUGAAGUGGGAGAGAACAUGGAUCAUUGACCUGGAAGUGCUUCACCUUUCUAUGUUUUUAGUUUUCUCCUUGUUCAUUAGAUUUAAUAAUACUUAACUUUUCUUUUGAGUUGCCUAUAUGAGAUCCUUCAGCCCUAAUGUGAAAAAGCAAAUUUUAAAACAAUAAACAGUCUCCAUUCCACAUGUUUGUUUUAGGAUUAGCUCAGUGUUACUGAGGUUGGCCUAGAAGCUCCUAUUUAACCUUACCAGUUAUCUAACAAAUGAUUGAAUAUAACUAGAUGGGAGUUCUUUUAUUUCAAAGAAGUAAUUGAAAAUCGACUUUCACAGGGUGAAAGUUGGCAUAAUUGGCAUCAGCAUGAAUUUUUCAUUGUGCAAGUAAAAACAGGGCCAGGAUUUCACCUAAUGACUUUAACUCAAAGAGAUAUGCAAAUUUAGAUCUGUGUAUUGUGAGUAUUAUGAAUGAAGCCCACAAUAGCGGCCUGAUUAUGCUUUUUUACACUCCCAGAUUUAAUCUAAGAUUUAUCUUGGCAGUAGGGGAAAGCAAGUCUUUGAUGCUUUGAGAUUUAAAUUAUUUCCUUGGAGUCAUCUAGGGGAGUUCUCUUACUGGAAGAAAGUAUAGUGGAAGGACUGUUGAUCCAUUCCAGCCUAUUGAAAGCUCUGUAGCAGUAAUUACCUUAUAUAUCUUCAUAAAAAUGUGUUUUAUUUUGCUACCAGUCCUCAGGCUCUUUGAGUGACUGCAAUGAGGAGCUCUGAAAGUUACUUUGGUCCGUUCAUAACUAAUUCUCUUGCCUUUACAGAUCAUAACAGUCGUGUAAGAGCCAUCAAGAAACUUUUCAUGUUGUUUUGCAGAUAUCAUAUGUUUGCCAUCUGACUGUACAAGACAUUCUGUUCCAAGGCAGAGGUUAUAGAGGCACACAGGCAGGAAAGGGUUGGCUGGAUACAUGUAACCCCUCCUGGCAGAAUUCUAGAGGAAAGGGAUAGUUAUGCAGAGAAAUACAAAAUUGUUAGACUGCACUGUAGUGCUUCCCAGCUGCUGAUCCUAAAAAGUCCUCUGAUGUUUCCUUAGUACUUCACAAUACUGAGCCUCACUUCCAGUGAUUUUUGUCAGCAAAUAGUAUGGAAGACUAAGGUAACAAAAUCAUUUGAAUAUGGAAUUGAGCCAAGCUUUUAUUAUGAAACAAUACAUGAAAUACUCAUCAGGCAAUUAAACACAGUGUUGUGUAAAUGUUAUGUCUUCAUGCAAUAUUGUUAUUUAACCUAGAAAACUGUAAUUAAGGAUUCCUCUAAAGUCCAGAAAGCUGGCUGCCUCUUCAUGUUGAUAUUCUCCCAUUUUCAAUGGACCUCUCCCUCUAAGUUCCUCUUGCUUCAGACAGUCUAAAGCUGUGCCCUUUAAAGGGCUAAUCAGGGACUUAUUCUUGCCCAUAACUCAGAAACUGGGGGAAACCCUUGGUUCAUUUAUUCAUGUAUGCAGUCAUUACUGGUAGAAAAUAUAUGGUGGUCUAUAACAUAUGUAACCACUUGUAGCUGGAAGUUUUGCUCUAUCACUAGGAUUGCACUGUACUGCAAAGAGGUUCAGCUCUACAAUGAGCACGUAGCCAAUGCAGGAAUAAUCUCUUCCUCCCUAACACAGUCAUAGUAUAAAUCCAUGUGCCCAUGGAGAUCUGCAGAAAAAAACAAAAUAUAAUUAAAAGCCAUUCUGACAUUGGCCAUACUAAUAACAUCUAAAGGACUUGAAAUCAUUUAAGCACUUUUCUAACAUGAAUUCUUCACAGUGGCCUGUGAGAAGCUGCUGUGCAGAAUUCCUGUAGCUAAGUGAGCCAGCUCUCAGCUGUGCCUCAGCUGGAAGAUUUUUUGAAAACUGCCAGCUUACCUCCUAAGGGUGAGGUUUGAGAAUUUUAUGUUUUUGUUUUUAAAUAAGUUUCAGACCUUUGGCUUGUUGUGGAUUAGCAUAACUCCAUUGAAGUCUACCACAACACGCAGAUUUUUAAAGGUAUUUAGGUAUGUACAAAUAGCAGAAUUUUAAGCAGACGAACUUUCUGUCUCUUGAAACAGAUCGGCCCUGACAGACACCAUCUCUGUAUUCUCCUGCUUAAAAGCUUUUGAAAACAUGGAGCUAAAUCUGCAACUUUUAUGUUAAAAAGGUAAUUGGGAGUGAUAUAGAAUCACUGUUGUGGCAGUGAUUCAAAUGUAUGCCAGUUGACAAAUUUUAAAGAAUGCAGGAAGGCUUCUCCUGUCAUAAAAAUGUCCAAAUAUAUGUUAUAUAUAUAUGUAUAUAAAAUAAGUAUGCACUGUAGAAGAAAUAUAUAUACCAAUUGCAGGGUAGGCAAAAGCAUUAGAUUGGAUGCACUAGAUCCCUGUUGCAGUGGGGGAGACAAUGUGGAUUCAGCCAGUGUUCAAGGAGUUGUUCUUCUGAUCUCUGCUCCAAGCGCUGGAGAUAAAGCAUAUACUCCUAUUUAAAGAAAAGAAGUAAUUUCAUUAUGUAAUCACUCCAUUCUAAUGUCAGGCCAAUGAACCAGCAGAAUUUUACAGCUUAUGUAAGAGCAAUUCAUUUACCUCUUAAAAUAAUCAAAUAUAGUGAAAUAGUCUUGCUGGUCAGCUUGCCCCAACCUAGCAAUAUUUAAUGAAUGACAUCAUCAGUAAAGGUGGCAAGCAAGAAUUUUACAACAAUAUUCAUAAAUUUGGAAGUCUACAUACACAUUUCUCAUUUGCAUAUCAACACAGAAGCCUCUGUUGGUCCUGAGGGCACAGAGGAUUCUCAGGGAUAGGUCUGUUGUAGCCUCUUUUGAAAAUUGAUUCCUGCUGAUUAAAGAACAUUAACCCCUUGCAGGAUCAUGUGGCAGAACUCUGAAGGGUUGUAGGAGGGUAGCACACAUCAGUGCUGACUGGUCUUUCUGGGAUAAAUAAAAUAAUGUGAAUUUCCCAUACCACUUUAUAUGGAGAGGGUUUGGUCUAAGCAACAAAUUACCAAAGUAAAGUGGGCUGUGUAUCAAAAACUUGACCUCCUUCAGGAACAAAAUUUACUUUUAAAAAGCCCCAGUCCCAGUGCAUGUGGGCUCAUAAGCUUUGUGAACAGUAGAUACAUUUAUUCCAAAUACACCCCAUUGCUUUGCACAGCAGGCACUGUUGGAAUGGAGGCUGUAGCCUAAACCCUUUGCACUGGCCAAGUAUUCCUGCUGUCAUCCAGCUCCCUGCUCUUUGUGCUGAGCAGAGGGUGGGUACCCUGGGUGCCAGCAGGCAGCAUUAGAUUCCUGCCUUUUACUGGGCUUUCUCUCCUCACAGCACAGGGAGACUUGGCUCAAGUCCCUGGUGAGAGACUGCAUUAGGAACUGGCAGAGAACAGAACUGUAUGACUGAGAAGAGGCCACCUUAUAAAAAGCAGGAUCUCAGUCAAAGUAAGAUUAAAACAUGCUGACAACAUAAAUUACAUUUUUGUAAUAAACAAAGGGGGCAGAUCUUGCUGUCUGUAACUGAACAGGUUUUUGACUCCAGCAGCACUGUGGAAGUCAAAGAGUGUCACAAAGAAUUGCAAAUUACAUUCCCCAGCUCAGCAUGAUCUGGCCUAGUACAAACAGCUUUUGCUUAAAAUAGAUGAACAGAGGUGGGUUCAUCCCAGAAAUCAUUUCAUUCUGCUACAAAGCAUCCAUACAAAAUCAGUUUUUCUCCUUGAGCCAGUGGUAGAACCGUGCACAGGGAUGCAGCAGCCUUGCACCUUCACUCACAAGGGACAAUCUGCAUUUUCCACAUGGCAGCAAGGGUUGGCUUUUUACCAGAAGAUGUUUCCUUUGCUACUGAAAACCUUGACAAUUAGUGAGCAAAACAAACACUCUUAUGUUUGGGUUUUCUUACAGAAGGUCAACUUUGCUGUCUGGAAAAAAAAAUAAAAAGAAGGUUGGAAUUCCUCAACAAGUGUUUGCUCCUAAUUGAGUAGGAUGGAGAGUGGCAAGGACAGAACAGCUGAGUCAGUGAUACAACAUUUCUCUAGCCCUGGCUCCCUUCUGUCCCCACACAAUGUCAUAGACUCAUAGAGUGUCUGGAGUGGGAAGGAACCCAUAGGGAUCAUCAAGUCCAACUCCCUGCUCCUCACAGGACUCCCUAAAACUAAACCAUAGGCUAAAUGUUGCAUGUCUGCUUGUAACUUCUUGCAAUACAGGAUUUACCUCAACCCAACUGUUCUACUGCUUUAUUUACUUUGUAUUCAAUAUGUGCUAUAUUUACUAUAUAACAUUAAUCCUGGUGGUAUAUUAAGCAUGAGCACAGAUGGGAGCUGUAUUCCUGCUAAAUUGCAAAAACUGCAGGGCUCAUUUAACAACAGCUUAGAAACCAACCCCGUCCUGAGUGUUUUGGGCAGCAGUGAAGCCUUGUGAGUUUUGGCUCUGUUGUGCAAUCCUCAGUGUACAAGGCUGUUAACAAGUGUGGAGCAACAUCCUUGUGACAGCUUUGAUUUGUCGUGGUGUCACACCUGACAAACAGUGUCCAUCCAGAGUGGUGCAUGGCCAGGUGGAUUCUUUUUGGCUGGUGUACAAUACCCACUGGAAAGGGAAAACCAGGAGCUGUCUCCACAGUCCUGGCACAGUCUCAGCUCAAUCCUCAAGGUCUCUAGUGCUCCUCGUGUCUUACAGAGUUCAGAGAUGUUCAGUACCUCACCAAACUGAGCCCCUUGCACUCGUCACACACUCACAGGUGCUUCUGGCUUCUGUGGGGUUUGCCUCUUCAGAACCAUGUAAUUUUAGCUCAGCUUAUUUACUUUGGAAAGGAGCAAGCAGUAAUUUUAAAAUAUCUUAAGUACCCUUGAGAAGUGCAGAAUUAUAUGUUACAUCUUGUCAAAGCAAGUAAAACAGAAGGCCUUUUAA
This is a long non-coding RNA of Pseudopipra pipra, 5718 nucleotides long. RefSeq lists it as uncharacterized. The transcript has 3 exons. Lineage: Eukaryota; Metazoa; Chordata; Aves; Passeriformes; Pipridae. The record is from RefSeq and is a predicted model, not a curated record.